This 72-nucleotide transfer RNA is filed under the name Sus scrofa (pig). It matches the Rfam family "tRNA". From Rfam's summary of the family: Transfer RNA (tRNA) molecules are approximately 80 nucleotides in length. Their secondary structure includes four short double-helical elements and three loops (D, anti-codon, and T loops). Further hydrogen bonds mediate the characteristic L-shaped molecular structure. tRNAs have two regions of fundamental functional importance: the anti-codon, which is responsible for specific mRNA codon recognition, and the 3' end, to which the tRNAs corresponding amino acid is attached (by aminoacyl-tRNA synthetases). tRNAs cope with the degeneracy of the genetic code in two manners: having more than one tRNA (with a specific anti-codon) for a particular amino acid; and 'wobble' base-pairing, i.e. permitting non-standard base-pairing at the 3rd anti-codon position. Lineage: Eukaryota; Metazoa; Chordata; Mammalia; Artiodactyla; Suidae. The record is from Rfam by way of RNAcentral.
UCCCUGGUGGUCUAGCAGUUAGGACUCAGUGCUUUUACGGCUGUGGCCCAGGUUUAAUCCCUAGUCUGGGAA